This 499-nucleotide ribosomal RNA is filed under the name uncultured bacterium. RNAcentral's name for it is "partial 16S ribosomal RNA". It matches the Rfam family "Bacterial small subunit ribosomal RNA", at positions 28 to 507 of the family's 1533-position model. The record is from RNAcentral.
GAUGAACGCUGGCGGCGUGCCUAAUACAUGCAAGUCGAGCGAACAGACGAGAGUGCUUGCACUCUCUGACGUUAGCGGCGGACGGGUGAGUAACACGUGGGUAACCUACCUAUAAGACUGGGAUAACUUCGGGAAACCGGAGCUAAUACCGGAUAAUAUUUAGCUUCGCAUGAAGCAAUAGUGAAAGACGGUUCUGCUGUCACUUAUAGAUGGACCCGCGGUGUAUUAGCUAGUUGGUGAGGUAACGGCUCACUAAGGCAACGAUACAUAGCCGACCUGAGAGGGUGAUCGGCCACACUGGGACUGAGACACGGCCCAGACUCCUACGGGAGGCAGCAGUAGGGAAUCUUCCGCAAUGGACGAAAGUCUGACGGAGCAAUGCCGCGUGAGUGAAGAAGGUUUUCGGAUCGUAAAACUCUGUUGUAAGGGAAGAACAAGUACGUUAGUAACUGAACGUACCUUGACGGUACCUUACCAGAAAGCCACGGCUAACUACGUG